AUUGAACGCUGGCGGCAGGCCUAACACAUGCAAGUCGAACGGUAACAGGAAGCAGCUUGCUGCUUCGCUGACGAGUGGCGGACGGGUGAGCAAUGUCUGGGAAGCUGCCUGAUGGAGGGGGAUAACUACUGGAAACGGUAGCUAAUACCGCAUAAUGUCGCAAGACCAAAGAGGGGGACCUUCGGGCCUCUUGCCAUCGGAUGUGCCCAGGUGGGAUUAGCUUGUUGGUGGGGUAACGGCUCACCAAGGCGACGAUCCCUAACUGGUCUGAGAGGAUGACCAGCCACACUGGAACUGAGACACGGUCCAGACUCCUACGGGAGGCAGCAGUGGGGAAUAUUGCACAAUGGGCGAAAGCCUGAUGCAGCCAUGCCGCGUGUAUGAAGAAGGCCUUCGGGUUGUAAAGUACUUUCAGCGGGGAGGAAGGGAAGAAAGUUAAUACCUUUGCUUAUUGACGUUACCCGCAGAAGAAGCACCGGCUAACUCCGUG
Molecule: ribosomal RNA, 490 nt
Filed under: uncultured bacterium
Lineage: Bacteria
Description: partial 16S ribosomal RNA
Rfam family: Bacterial small subunit ribosomal RNA
Source: RNAcentral